AUGAGAAGGCAGGGGCGCAAUGAGGCCUCCCCGUCGAUCAUCCACACGUCCUCCAUAGCCCUCCUCCAGGAGCGGUUCAGGAACCUGCAGAGGGUCAAGGAGAUGAGGGAGGGAAGGGAGCUGCAGCGGGUGCACCACUCCGCCGACGCCACCGACCGCGCCGGCUCCCCGUUGCCGCCGGCGCCUCUGGACCUUGGCCUGCAGCCGACGGCGGCCAGCGGCGACGAGCGGCCGAGGUGGUUCUUGCACCCGGACCUGGUGCGCCCGUCUAGGCCCCUGCACGGCGCGUCCGCCUACAGCGGGUUCGGCGGGAACGGCGGCGUCCAGGCGUCGCAGCCCGCGGCGGCGGCGGCGAGCUCGUGGGGGGAGGUGCCGAGAAUGCAGAAUUCAGGCUAUAGGGGUGAUGUAGACGUGGACACCUCGCUUCAUCUGUAA
RNAcentral lists this ribosomal RNA (435 nucleotides) under Triticum aestivum (bread wheat). RNAcentral describes it as "partial small subunit ribosomal RNA". The record is from RNAcentral. Lineage: Eukaryota; Viridiplantae; Streptophyta; Magnoliopsida; Poales; Poaceae.